UUAGCAGACUUAUCUUAUCGUCCUGAAUUUAUUUCAGGGAGGAAAGUCCGGACACCAAAGAGUAAUUAUAGCGGAUAACAUCCGUCCAACGUAAGUUGAGGACAAGUGCAACAGAAAGCAAGUACAGUUAGGCUGUAGUGAAACCAGGUAAACUCUAUGAGGUGCAAUGUCAUGUAAAUUAGAGCUUGAGAGCUACUCGCUCGAUUCUAAAGGGUAGGCAGAUAGAUUCUAAGAGUAAUUUUAGAACUAGAUAAAUGAUAAGAACCUUUAUUUUUUAAAGGAACAGAAUUCGGCUUAUUAGUCUGCUUUAUAU
Molecule: RNase P RNA, 313 nt
Filed under: Polaribacter vadi
Lineage: Bacteria; Pseudomonadati; Bacteroidota; Flavobacteriia; Flavobacteriales; Flavobacteriaceae
Also listed under: 1 other name
Description: RNase P RNA component class A
Rfam family: Bacterial RNase P class A
About the family: Ribonuclease P (RNase P) is a ubiquitous endoribonuclease, found in archaea, bacteria and eukarya as well as chloroplasts and mitochondria.
Source: RNAcentral